UUUGAUAGUACCUUACUACUUGGAUAACCGUGGUAAUUCUAGAGCUAAUACAUGCUAAAAACCCCAACUUCGGGCGGGGUGUAUUUAUUAGAUAAAAAACCAAUGCCCUUCGGGGCUCACUGGUGAUUCAUAAUAACUUCUCAGAUCGCAUGGCCUUGCGCCGGCGACGGUUCAUUCAAAUUUCUGCCCUAUCAACUUUCGAUGGUAAGGUAUUGGCUUACCAUGGUUUCAACGGGUAACGGGGAAUUAGGGUUCGAUUCCGGAGAGGGAGCCUGAGAAACGGCUACCACAUCCAAGGAAGGCAGCAGGCGCGCAAAUUACCCAAUCCCAAUACGGGGAGGUAGUGACAAUAAAUACUGAUACAGGGCUCUUUAGGGUCUUGUAAUUGGAAUGAGUACAAUUUAAACCUCUUAACGAGGAACAAUUGGAGGGCAAGUCUGGUGCCAGCAGCCGCGGUAAUUCCAGCUCCAAUAGCGUAUAUUAAAGUUGUUGCAGUUAAAAAGCUCGUAGUUGAACCUUUGGCCUGGCUGGCGGGUCCGCCUCACCGCGUGCACUCGUCCGGCCGGGCCUUUUCUUCUGGAGAACCGCAUGCCCUUCACUGGGUGUGUUGGGGACCAGGACUUUUACUUUGAAAAAAUUAGAGUGUUCAAAGCAGGCCUUUGCUCGAAUACGUUAGCAUGGAAUAAUAGAAUAGGACGUGCGGUCCUAUUUUGUUGGUUUCUAGGACCGCCGUAAUGAUUAAUAGGGACAGUCGGGGGCAUCAGUAUUCAAUUGUCAGAGGUGAAAUUCUUGGAUUUAUUGAAGACUAACUACUGCGAAAGCAUUUGCCAAGGAUGUUUUCAUUAAUCAGUGAACGAAAGUUAGGGGAUCGAAGACGAUCAGAUACCGUCGUAGUCUUAACCAUAAACUAUGCCGACUAGGGAUCGGGCGGUGUUACUAUU
Molecule: ribosomal RNA, 941 nt
Filed under: Periconia penniseti
Lineage: Eukaryota; Fungi; Ascomycota; Dothideomycetes; Pleosporales; Periconiaceae
Description: SSU rRNA
Rfam family: Eukaryotic small subunit ribosomal RNA
Source: RNAcentral